Long non-coding RNA from Ricinus communis (castor bean), 1089 nucleotides. RefSeq lists it as uncharacterized. The record is from RefSeq and is a predicted model, not a curated record. The transcript is spliced from 2 exons. Lineage: Eukaryota; Viridiplantae; Streptophyta; Magnoliopsida; Malpighiales; Euphorbiaceae.
UUUAAUACAAGAGUACCCCUUACCAACUAAACUAUAAUAUUCUUGAAAACAUGUAGCCAUUAAUCCAACACGACAUUCAUAAUGAAAAAGCAUAUAAUGUAAGGUUAAUAUAUGACGUAAGUGAUAACCGUCACUGCCAACCUCAAGUAUCUCAAACCAUGCAUGCUCUAGAUAUUUGUACAAGACCAAUCUCGAAUGUCUAAGGUCUCCGAUCAUACCUGCUUUCUCAAGGUUGUGCCACCUCCUUAGCUAGACCUAGACAAUGAAUCGACAGACAAUCCCCUCCUCUCCGAACUUGUUAGACACGGGUCUGAUUUUUCUUAAAUAAAGUACCCGGCGACUCUAAAGGUACACAUUCACUGUUGAAUGCUAUGAUUGCAUCACCACUGUGAGUAUCUCUCCCGGGAUUAAGGUUUGCUGCCUCUUUUCUCCACCAAGAACAGGAAUCGCUCCAUGGCUUUCACAGAAUCACACCGGUCAUCAACACGUUUGGAAACCAAAAGAUGCUGUCUCCAUCUCUCAUCUUUGACAUCUUAUCUCCGUUUUAAGGUCACUGCAUGCUGUGAUCAUGUUAUUAGCUAAAAUGUCGUUUUACAUUUUUAAAGGGAAUAGAUUAGGCGUAAUGCUUGUCUGUUUCAUCUCAAUUAUGGCUAUAUUUGUUUUCUGUAUGUCAAACAAAUUUCCCCACAUAAUCUUCUUGGCGAUUCUUAAUCUGAUUACUUUGAGAAAUGGUGGCUACUGGAACCUAAUAGUAUUUUUCUUUCCUUCUAAAGAAAGCAAUUUUGAAGCUAAUCAGUUGUUAAUACAGCAAAGUUAGAAGGAAAUUUUAACAAAUUUCUAAUUUUUUUUCUUUCUAAAUCUCAAGGUUCCAGCUUUACAAUAUGCCAAAUUUCAGUGGGAAAUCUUAAUUAAUAAUUAAAAGAAAAAACAGAUUCAAACAAAAAGAUACCAAGUCAGUCGCUUAUUAAGGAGAGCAAUUUGGUUGACUUAAAAGGUCGGAUUGUUUGGCAAUCUUAUCCACAUGAAAUUAAGUAACCCAGCAGGUUUGGAUCCAUAAUUAUUAAGACAAUGACCCUUUCAAUUCGCCAA